AGGCAGUUGUAUCCUGUGCUGUCAGCAUUGGAUCGGGUCCAACGUCAUGACCACAGUUUGUCGAGGGCUGGUCAACCCUUCUCGAACAUGUGGGUGACAAGGGUGCAGGCUUGGGUCGAUGGCUGGGACCAGGCAGAGGAGAACGUGGCGCUUCCGACCUCUGCACACACAGAGGCUUCGUACAGGGCGUACCUGAGCUGGUACCAGCCUAAGACUCGUUGCCGCUUGAUAUAUGCUGACAUGCAUCCAGAGCCGCAUGUUGCGACCCCACAGGAUGGCUAUGCACGACAUAGGGAUGAGGCAUUAGCUGGGGCGUUUGAAAUGUGCAGGUUGAUAGACGUAGAUGCCAGGGUAAAUUUGAUGAGGAUUCGAGCGGGAUCUAUGAUG
Long non-coding RNA from Panicum virgatum (switchgrass), 387 nucleotides. RefSeq lists it as uncharacterized. The record is from RefSeq and is a predicted model, not a curated record. NCBI's taxonomy places the organism in Eukaryota, Viridiplantae, Streptophyta, Magnoliopsida, Poales, Poaceae. The transcript is spliced from 3 exons.